Non-coding RNA from Equus caballus (horse), 8938 nucleotides. The record is from RefSeq and is a predicted model, not a curated record. Lineage: Eukaryota; Metazoa; Chordata; Mammalia; Perissodactyla; Equidae.
UCCAAUAUUGAUAUUAAGGAUUCCUGUUCCUUUUCAGGGUAUCUACACCUUUUCUCUGGAAACUUUUAGAAUUGUCAUUUUGUUUUUGGAUUCCUGAAACACAACUUUAUUUGCUUUAUCUUCUGAGCUCUCAUGACAUGACAGCAAAGGAGUAAAAAUGGGUGUAAACUUCCAACAACGAAGAGAAUAUGGACAGCAAGAGGGAGAUAUGAGCUGAGAGAACCCCUACUUCUCCACCCUUAGGUCGAGAGGAAUGACCGUUCCUCUCUAAAGAAACUGAACAAACUAUUCUUAGUGUGGGAGCCAAUGCCACACCUGGGCUCCGUUUCCACUCACCCUGAAAUGGAGCCCAGCAGUCAACAAGGCCUGCUGGUCACAGCAAGCUCAGAGUCACCUUUGCUAGAACUGCCAAUGACUGGUAUUUGAGGGAAGUGUGAUCCAUGAAAAAGAAACAUUGUGAAAUACAGAAAUGACACCGUUGGAAACAAGAGAUAAUUUAGGGUAAAUAAGGACCUUGAAAGAAACUACUUUGUAUCCUCAGAGACAUUUAUGAAGACACUGCAUCAAUUAAACAAGAUGAUGAUGCUAUGAAAAUGCUAAUAAAAAGUUGGAGGAUAAAAUGGAGGAAAAGUAAAAGAAAAAGACAGAGAGUAUAAAAAGAGCAACAACAAAAUAAUAUUUAAAAUAACCCAGAAUGACAGUUAGAAUCAACAGCUAACUGAUAGGAGAUCCAAAAAGAAAAAUAUGAGAGAAGAAAUCACAAAGAAACAUUACAAGAGAAUUUCUCAGAGUUGAAAGAUACAAAAGUUAAGACAGAGUUAUUUACCUGGUAUCCACUCUAAUGAAUAAAAGACAGCAAAUGCAACAUUUAAAAAUUCAUAACAUUAACAAUACAAGAGAGACCUUAAAUAGUUCCAGAGAGAGAAAAAUGAAGAAAAAUGACAACUUGUAAAUAAAUGGGCAUCAAAGACUUGUAAGAGCAAUACUAGAUGCUAGAAGACAAUAAAGAAAUGCUUCAACUUAUGAAGGAAAAUGAUUUUCAACUAGAAUUCUAUAUCCAGCAAAAAUAGUUGUGAAUUUUGAAGGCGGAAGAAAUGAGAUUUUCAGACAGAUGAGGUGUUGCAAAGGCUUAAUUCCAUGCGCCUUUUAAGGGAAGUCAUUUGAGGACACACUCCAGCAAAAUGAGGGCGUAAAGCAAGCCAGGGAGAGACACAGGAUUCUGGAAACAGUAUCUCCAACCUUGGAAAAUAGUGAAGAGAAAUGCAGAUGGCAGUUUUGCUAUAGUUCUAGAGAGAUCUGUACAGAUUUUACAGAUGAAGGAAACACUAUGUUGUAUCCUCCACCAUUUAUGAAGAUAGCAUAAGGACAGAAAAUUAAGUCGACUGACCAAGAUCACAUAUGUGCCCAACACAUUUCUCAAAGGCCACACCAGUCAAGAAGGAAGAGUAUCCAGUUGGAAGAUACUGAGGUCAUUGCAGAGGGGAACCCACAAUCAAUGCACCCUGGGUACACAGAUAUGUGCCAUCACUCUGAGAAUCAAAUACCAGGGAGUACAGUAUCAUCAUAUCAUCAUCAUCACUAUUGGCUAAUUGCUUUUCCCACACCUCCCAGCCCAGAGUCACACAUCUGUUCCAGGAGAGAGGGCAUUUUGGUUCACUUGCUUCCCUGGUACAAGCAGACCCAUCCAGAGAGGAGGGACACGGCCUUUCUCCUGUCACAAAUUCUGCACGAAAUUCCUGCCCGAGAGAUGAUCCCAACCAUUCACUCGCCAUCUCAUUACUCCUCAGCAGUGACUAAAACUCAAAAACCUAGCCCUUGUCUCUGGAUUCCAAGGGUGUAAUUUCAUCUGAAAUGUUUCCUUCCACUGACUAGUUCUCUAUCUUUCUUUUCGCCUGUCUGUUUUGCUCAGCUCUACCCUCUUGCACAUGUUAAAUCUAAUCCUUUGGUGACCUAAACUAGAAAAAAUGCCUCGAGAAUGAGCUGUUCUCCAUCUAUGAGUUUUUAUCUAGCAUACUAUAGCAUCUAUUCCUUUAAUAUUAGUAUCUUAGAUUAAAUCUACCAUUUAUUGUAUGCCUAUGGGCCAAGCAAUUUACUGAUAUUCAUCACAUUUAUUGUUACUAACAACUUAAUCAGCUAGAUGGUGUUAUCCCAUUUUACAGAUGAGGAAACUGAGUCUCAGAGAGGCUGAAUGCCGUGCCCAAGGCCCUGCAGCCAGAAUCAGAUUAGAACGGGUCCAUCUGACCCACAGGCCUCUUCUCCAAGGACUUCCAGUGCUGGGUCAGGUUAUCCCAGGAGGCCCUCUAUGAUUUCAAGAACUUCUCAGAUGUCCAAAUCAAACGAUUUUAAUCCAUUUUAUUAAUAAAAAUAAUAAUGCCUCUAUGUCUCAUAGGCGAUGUAAUGAAGUGAGAGGCAGGAGAAAAGAGUGUUGUAGCUGGAAAGAUUGGAACUCACUCCCUCUGCACUGAGAGGAAGAUUGCGGGUUACCAAUUAGGUGUUUCCCUCAGAAGGACUUUGUCAUAGGUGUGUGAACCUGCCACAACCCUUGUCACUUGGUGGAUUGAUUUAACUGGGUAGCUGAACCUGAUUGAAGAGAUUCCUUCCUGGGUCAUGACCCUGCUCUUGGAAAUGCAGAAUCUUUAGCCUGUAGGCCCCGAGUGAUGGAAUGAAGAGCUGGAGGUAUCAGAGUGAGAUAGACCAGAUCAAGGACUUGAUGCUCCUUUUAUCAGACAAUUGAAGGGACAGAUAUUCAUUCUAGAACUUGUAACAAGAUAGUGUUUCUAUUAAAAGGAAAUAUAAACCAUUUCCUCUCAUACGCCUUGACACCUUCGAGAACAACCUCUCUUAGCCACCAGAGGACAAGCCUAGGAAGUAUGGAGUAGCAGCAUGAUCGAGUAUAGAUUUAUACCCUCAUUCUGCCUCCUUCCAUCGAGCACUUGAGACAGCACGAACAGUAAUGUGAGACACUAGCAUUGCCAUUUUUUCCAGUGGACAAUCAAUAUCUUUGCUGUGCUCUUGGAGCUCUACAGACAAUCCUGAGGGGAUCAAAGAAGUCCUCUGACAGAAGCCCUAAAGCUGAAAGUCACAGUAUAACUCUGUAGUCUUAUUACGAGAAAUGAUAUUUCUGGAGGAUGCACACAGAACUUUUCUUACGGCAUCAAGAAGACUUGAAUCCAAAAAGACUGCAGAGAAAAGCGUUUAAUUCUGAGCCCUCAAAACAAACUUUCAGGAAAGUGCCUUUUCAUCCUUUGUUAACUUCAAAUAAAGGAGAGAAGGUCAUCCCCUCCCCAGGUUCUCCCUCCUGAACAGUUUUGUCAAUGAUGGAGGUGGUAUGAGGGGAGGGAGACCAAUGCCCCUUGUUCCUUAGGUUAUAUGUGAUGUUUGCUCCAGAAAUAUGAGCAAACAUCUUGGAAUCCUUAUCAUUAUGUAUCAGCUACCUUACUGGUUGACUCUACAGAGACUCUCAUAUUAAAAAAAAAUAAAAUGAUACCUCUGUGAAGAGUCUUUCAUCAUAGGAUUUCUUGGUCUAGUCAUCCCACCCCUAAUUUGCAGAGAUGAGAGUAAAAAUCAAGAGAGGUCACUAGUUGAAGAACAAGCCAUCAGCAGAACAUGCUGACAGCUCAACCUUCUUCAACCUUGAGCCAAGCCAUGGGCUCAGCAGCUGAGCCUCGUCUGCACUCCUGGCCCUUGAUAGGUACCCUCCCUGCAAUGGGCACAUGGAGUUAGUGGGAUGGAGUAAGUCCAGUUGCUGUUGAACUAGUUGCAGACUUGAGCUCUGUUAGUUUCCUUAAUUAUUACCGAUCAUCCAACAACAAUAUUGAGCAGCUAUAUGCCCCGCACUGCAUUGGACACCAACAAGAGGAAGCAGAGGCUGUGGCAUUUCAACAGUUAAGGGAAGAAAGGGCAGGCACAAUCUUGUACUUUUCCUUAGAGAGGGAGUCAAUAAGUAAGCGUGAAGCCUCUAAAGAAAAGAUGAGAGUAUGAAGGGAGCACGAGAGGGAAUGAAUGUCAGUCUCCUGGCAGUGUAGCCAGGCAAAAGUGUAAAGGAAGGAUGGACAAAGACUGGUUCAGAGAGGAGGGGCAGUCACAUAGAAAUGUUACUGUUAGGGCAAACGGGUGGGAAUCUUCAAGGUGAAUGGAAGGCUGGAUAAGAAAUGAGUGUGACUGGAGCCAUAGGUCAUGUUGUGCUGUAGCAGGUGAGGAUGCGGUUGAAGGAGGCAGUGGGGUGGGAAAGGGCCGACCAUAUACAGCUCCUGAAUCAGAUGUGAAAUUGUCUUUGAAACUAGUUAUUCUGAGCAGCGACAUGUGGUAUCACUUAGCAUAAAACAUAAUUGAAACCAAAGAAAUCCCUAAGAAGACAGCUCUAAUAGUCUAGCACUGAGGAGCUUAAAAGAUCAACUAUGUCGAUGCUUUUGGAAUGGAGAGAAAGACCUCAAAAUAGGAAGUAAGGCAGAGGAACAAUUAGCAGGACUCAGCAAAAAAAAGAAAGACCAUGGGAUUGGAGGAGUGAUACUGAAUGUAUUUUGGUUGAAUCUUGGAAUUUUUGAGCUGGAAAAGCCCUUAGCGCAAUAUCCUUAUUUUACAAAUGAGUGCAAGGCCAAGCCAGGUCAGUAAAGAAAGAUGUGCAUAUAGACAUACAUGUGGGCCAGUGAAAUUCAAUUAGGUUCCUCUUUUAUUUAGAAAAUAACAUGAAUAUAUUUUAGGGUUUGCAAUCUAACUUGGAGAUCAGAGGAAACAGAAUAUUGGGUUUGGGCUCAUGAUUUCUGAUUCCAGAAAUCUUGACCUCUAAUAAGCCCUGAUCCUCGGUGGCCUUUGGUGGACAGAGAGUUACUUUGAAUUGGGACUAACAGGGUUGGAGAGAAGCAGGUCAUCACAACGCCAUUGGGAAACACGACAGGCAGAGGACUGUGGGAUCCUGGGGCUACACCCUGCUUGAGGGGGCUUCAAGAUGUGGGGACAGUCAGGCUAGUUCGAGUGACUGGAUCUUUCCCAAGGUGCCACAUGCUGGUUUGGGUCACCCGGCUCCCACCCAGACUCACAUCAGCUUCACACCAUAUUAUCCACCUUGUGUGAUUCUCCGUGACGCUGCGGCCAGCACCAUCUCUCCACACCAUAUUACAGCCAAAAAAAAAAAAAAAAAAAAAUUAAGAACUUUUCCCAUGGACUAGGAAUGCAUUUCAUUUAGCUUCAUUUAAAAUACAUUGUUAGAGGUGUGUUCUGCAAAUCUGCCAAAUUCUAUAAAUAUGUAUGAAGUCACAGUGGCCUCCUCCACCCCUGGAUAGGCCAGUUUUGGGAUGGAUAAGAGACAGGGAGAAUUUUAAGUACAUCCUGUUCUCCUGAGGUUUACUUUUUUCCAUUCUGCUCUCUCUCCUUCUUUUGCUCCCUCCUGCUCAUCAACCCCUACCCUCCAAUAGAAAAAAAUAAUUGCCAUGAGGGCUGAGCCUGGGCAGAGCUGAAGGUUUCUUGUCUCUUUUGUAGAGUGCUGCAAACCCUUAAAACUGUCAGACAAUAACAGCCUUCUCCCAACACACAACCACAGCUCUCCUCUCACAAACAGGAAACCAUCCCAGGGCUGUGCGCUCCUGAGCCAGGAAAUUGGUCUAUGCUGCUUUGGCUACCUUCCCCUCAGGUUCUUCCUGGCCAUUCAACACGGUUAAAAAUAGUAGCCACCAAAACCAGAAGAAAAGAUGAUUUCAUUGUCUGACCACUGUAACUUGUGGCCUGAUUUGGGUGGUGGCAUUUGGAGCUAAUCCCCUGACUUGGCAUCUUCAGAAUUCUUUUAGGGUCAAGACUGGAUUUCAACACCCGGGUGCUCCCUGAGAAGCCAGCUCAUCUCGGGAGAGCAGCGAAUCAGGCAGAGCUGGCUGGCCAUCCACAGGCUUGGGCACACAUGUGUGUGCUCACGUGCACACACAGACACACUGAGGGUGAGACAGUCAUGCAAAUCCACCAUGUCCCCUGGGCACAGCCUGUGUGCAGUGCAGGCAGCACAUGCCCGUCCUGGCUUGUGACAGUAAGGCCAGGACAAAAUCUCUCUGCCGUCUGAGCCACUCACUCCUGCUAUGGUCUGGGGAGUGUGCGUCCUCACCCCAACUUGGAAGGCAUGAGAAUUUGUACAACAUGCUGAUUCCACUCUUAGCAAUAGGGAGCAGUCAGAGUGACAGAUACAGAAGAGACCCAAUGGGCUUCUAAAGCUAGGAGAAGAGAUAACUAGUUUGAGAAGGUACAAAGGCUCACUAACAGUUAAUCUUGAGGAGUAAGGAGAAAUCAAUUUUUACCGUGAAGCACCCCGCCUCCACCUGCUGCCACAGAUUAAAAUCCUCCAGAGGUAAAUUCACAACGACGAAAAGAUCCACGUCCCUCAAGACAGGGCUUAAGGCCCUCACUUUUGCUUAAUUUGCUACUGAAUUAAUCAGGCUAGUGGGUUUUAAAAUAACUUCUAUGUGACUGGCACCUCCUAAGGCGUGCUGUGGGCAUACAGAAGCUGCAUAAGAUGUUUAUGUGCUAUCUUGGAGAGUUUUAGAGCUAUUUAAAGAGGAAGAACAAACUCAGCUGAAGUAAACUGGAAACCAAACAUGUCCAGCAUUCGACGAGUAAGUACUGAGCCCCUCCCAGGCACUGCUGUGGGGAAUGCAGCCGUGAGAAAAUUUUAAAAAAAUGCCUGCCCUCAGGGGGCAUAUGCUUGAAUGGGGGAGGCAGGUGAUAACUUGGAGAAAUAAGUAUGAUAUAUAGUGUAAGUGCUUAGGAGAAAAAUAAAGCAGCAAAGGGGGAUAGGAAGUGUUGGGGAGAGGCAGCAAUCUCAGAAGAGGUGACCAGAAAAGUUCUUACUGAGAAGAUGACAUUUGAUUAAAAACGUGAAAGAUGCAAGUUCUGAAACUGCACGGUGCAGGCUGGAUGAGUACUUUAUUAGAUGGUGGAUCAGUGAGCAGCCAGGGGAAUUCAUGUAAGAGGGGAGGCUAAAUCUAAACCUUUGAAAGUUGGAAAAGUUUUAUCUAGUCAAAAGGAGGAAUGAUAUCAUUAUACUGAAAUUCUGUGCGCUGCAAUAAAUGUUUUAUCUGUGUCUCAUAUGUUACACACUUUGAAGAAAAACAAUUAGGUUCUCUAAUUAUACCCUUGGGGUAGCUACAUCAGCAUCCAGAAAUUUACCAGGGAUGUCCCAGGUCCCCAUCACUGCGUCUGGGAUGGGGAGGCAGCAUGAGUGUGGGGUGUCCCUUGUUCUGGCAGCGUUUGCUGGGAAGGUGACAUAGGCAGAAGAGCCAGAGGGACAUGGGUUCAAGCCUUGCCUGGUUACUUCCUAACCUCAUGACUGGGCAUGAUAAUUCCUUCUCUGAGCCUCAGUUUCUUCAUCUCUAAAUUGGGAAUACUGCCUUUUUGUUUUUUUUAAACAGGGCUCUUGUAAGGUCCAUAUAAAGCACUCGGGAAGUCAUACCCAUUAUUAGCAUUAUCAUGAUAUCACAAAACUAUGUGAAAUAAAAUGAUGGGCACCCUAUGACUGUUGUGAAUCUUGUCAUAAGUCUGAGGGAUGCUAACAACAGGCAAACUCACGUUUCCCUGUCGAGCUCUCAGCCUGGGGUAAGUGACUAAUUGAAGGAUAAAGAAAGGUUAAGUGAUGCACCCUUGUCAUUAGAUGCUGGGGGUGUGGUUGGAUCGCACACUCUGAUCUGGGGCUGCCAGGGCAGAGAGCACUUUGAGGACCGUGGGGCCGCUGCUGGGAAAGGGGAGGGGAGGAGAGGAGAGGGAGGGGGAAAGUAGAUGGGGCUGACCAAAGAGUAGUCUAAACCACGCAUCAGCCAAGGGGCCGUGAGCUCCUGGAAACCCUCCUACCAGAAUAUGCUAGUUCACCAGCAUCACUGAGCUGACGAUUGCUUAUCAGUCCUUUCCCAGGGAGUGUCACUCAGAAUGGGACCUGGGGAGGGCUGGCAUUGUGACAUCCCCCUCCCCAUGCGCUCUUUCUUCCCCUCUCUUAUUGAUCAGGACAGCUCAUCCUUGUUAGCACUCAAAAACCAUAGGAUGAAAGCUUGAUAAACCUGACUAUGAAGCUGUGAGAAGUUUCAGGCAUUUGAAACUGGCCUGGAUAAGGCCUGAGGGAAUCGAUAGCAAGUGAGUCAAGAAAGUCAGAAGGCCCCUGGAAGGUUGGGAAAUAAAGCAUGGGGCCGAGAGAGCCGAGUGCUUCAGAGCAAAUUAAAAGUCCACGGAGAGUGACGGAGGCCAACGCUCUGGGAGGUAGGAAGACAAGGACUGGCUGCAAAUAUCAUAUCCAGCUUCUUGAAUGUUUAAGCUGCUUUGCCAAUGGGCGUGCUCACCACUGAGCUCAGGUCUCCCUUCCACCCUAGGGGACAAACGUUUUGGUGGCUUUGUACACUGUCUGGCUCAUGCACGAUCUACAUUCUGUAUCAUGCUGGUGAUCCAGGCCUCUCUUUGCUUCCCCAUAGGCCUCAUAGACCGGCAUUCAACUGCCCGCUGAUUCAUUGAUCAACAAGGCUGUUACUAGGACUUCUUAACUCUUAAUUUAUUUUUAACAUUUAUUGAACAGCAUUACAUGCUAGACACUGUGCUUUACCUGCAUCAUCUCAUCUUAAUCUCAUAAAAACUUUAUGAAGCAUGUACUCUCAUUAUAUUUGUUUUGCAGAGACGGAAACUGAGUCCCAGAGAGGUCACAUAAUGCACCUAGUCCUCACAGUUAGUAAGUAGUGGGGCCAAAAUUCAAACUCAGCCUCUAACACCAGUGUCCGUGAGGUUGAACACAGUGUUCUAUAGCCUGACCAGCCACCAUUGCUUAAAUUUUGACUUCUUAAUGUCUGUAAAAGUGAGUGCCUAAAGAUAGAAGAUCAGUGAUUUUUUUUUUUGGAGGGAGCAGGGAUAUUAACCUAAUUAUAGUACAUUUUCACAAUUUUCCAUUCACUUAUAAAUAUAUUUUGUUCAGUAAAAAUAAUAGAGCACU